RNAcentral lists this ribosomal RNA (225 nucleotides) under uncultured bacterium. RNAcentral describes it as "partial 16S ribosomal RNA". It matches the Rfam family "Bacterial small subunit ribosomal RNA", at positions 109 to 334 of the family's 1533-position model. The record is from RNAcentral.
AGUAACGCGUGGGUAACCUGCCUCACACAGGGGGAUAGCAGUUGGAAACGGCUGAUAAUACCGCAUAAGCGCACAGUACCGCAUGGUACAGUGUGAAAAACUCCGGUGGUGUGAGAUGGACCCGCGUCUGAUUAGCUUGUUGGCAGGGUAACGGCCUACCAAGGCAACGAUCAGUAGCCGACCUGAGAGGGUGACCGGCCACAUUGGGACUGAGACACGGCCCAG